UCAGGUGGUUAUAGCACGAGGGUUCCACCUCUUCCCAUUCCGAACAGAGAAGUUAAGCCUCGUCACGC
Molecule: ribosomal RNA, 68 nt
Filed under: Bacteroides thetaiotaomicron
Lineage: Bacteria; Pseudomonadati; Bacteroidota; Bacteroidia; Bacteroidales; Bacteroidaceae
Also listed under: 2 other names
Source: RNAcentral